RNAcentral lists this long non-coding RNA (289 nucleotides) under Elaeis guineensis (African oil palm). RNAcentral describes it as "long non-coding RNA (EGUI_LNC027643)". The record is from RNAcentral. Lineage: Eukaryota; Viridiplantae; Streptophyta; Magnoliopsida; Arecales; Arecaceae.
CUCCCUCUCUUCCUCCCUGAUUUCUCCGAUUGAAGCCGCGGCCCCUCGACUCGUGCUCACCGCGAUUUCUCACCGGAGUGGUCACCGGAGCUUGAGGUAGUCCCUCCUCCCUCUUUCUCUCUCCUCUCCCUUCUUUUCCGUGCCUGUGGGCAUGACUGCCGGCGACAGGUGUCGUCGGAUUUCGUCGGAGAAGAAAGCCCCUGUUUCGCCUCUUCUUUUCUCUGAUUUUUAUGGCACCGACGAUCACCGCCGACCGCCGGCCUUGGCCUCUCCGAGCUCGGGAGGGUCG